UUUCUGGACUCUAUCUGCUCAGCAGAGGUAAGAGAUGGCCACAUAAAAGACAUUCUAUAUUUGAUACUGCACACCAAGAGGAUGCCAUUCACAUCACAGUCCAUGCCAGAUUUCUUUCUGGGCUCCUAAUAUGCUCAAAAUGGAGAAAGUUCCCAGAAUGAGCCAUAAAGUUAUUUGCAAACGUUAUCUUCUUGGAUGAGAGUCUGCUGAGGCAAUAAAUUACGUUGAUGAAGACAGUGAAGUAUGGAGGAGUAAAGACACAUUAAUGAAAGCUGACAGUAAGCCAUGUGGGUAGAUGGUUUGGGUAUUUUUAUCUUUCUCUUUUUCUUCUUGAUGAUCCAACCAAUUCAAGCAUGAUAUGUGGCAAGUUUUUCUGUUAAUGGAUUGAUAAUUAACCAAUGUUAACCUUAAAACCAGUCAGCAUAAUAAAAACACUUACAUAGUA
Non-coding RNA from Sus scrofa (pig), 445 nucleotides. NCBI's taxonomy places the organism in Eukaryota, Metazoa, Chordata, Mammalia, Artiodactyla, Suidae. The record is from RefSeq and is a predicted model, not a curated record.